RNAcentral lists this ribosomal RNA (488 nucleotides) under Cryptops punicus. RNAcentral describes it as "partial 16S small subunit ribosomal RNA". It matches the Rfam family "Bacterial large subunit ribosomal RNA", at positions 1819 to 2600 of the family's 2925-position model. Lineage: Eukaryota; Metazoa; Arthropoda; Chilopoda; Scolopendromorpha; Cryptopidae. The record is from RNAcentral.
GGUAUUUUGAAGUAUAAAAUAAAAUAUCGGACCUGCCCAGUGACAAAAAUUUAACGGCCGCAGUAUUUUGACUGUGCAAAGGUAGCAUAAUCAAUUGUCUGUUAAUUGCAGGCUAGAAUGAAUGGUUGGAGUUAAUAGAACUUUUUUUAAAGCUUGAGAUGAAAUUAUAUUUUUAUUAAAAAUUUUAAAAUGGAGUAUUAAGACGAGAAGACCCUAUUAAGUUUCACAUUUAAAUUAAAUUUUAUAAUUAGAUUAUCUAUUUAAUGAUAUGUUUUGCUGGGGCGGUAAAAUUAAAUAUUAAAAACAUAGUUUAUAUAAAAAUGAUCCAUUAAAUAUGAUCUAAGGAUUAAAUUACUAUAGGGAUAACAGCGUAAUGUUAAUUAGAAGAUCUUAUUUAUAUUAAUGUUUGCGACCUCGAUGUUGGUCUAAGAUUCCUUUAAGGAGCAUAGUAUUUAAGAGGUGGUUUGUUCAGCCAUUAAAAUCUUAUG